Molecule: long non-coding RNA, 23974 nt
Filed under: Homo sapiens (human)
Lineage: Eukaryota; Metazoa; Chordata; Mammalia; Primates; Hominidae
Description: non-protein coding lnc-ZNF536-8:2
Source: RNAcentral
CACCCCUAUUCCCACCCAGCGUUCGUCCCCAGCCACCCCCCAGCUGCCCCACCCGGCUCGCACUCCUCUCCACCCGCCGACUCCGGAGCCCCCAGCGUGGUCCCCGGGCCGGGGCUGGCGUCCCCCGGGGAAGCCAGAGCCCACGGGCAGGCCCCCUCCAGGGAGGAGGCGGGCGCGGGCCGGGGCGGGUGGGGGCAGCCCUCAGACCCCGCGCCACCCAGCUCCUCCCCCAGGACCCGCCGUAGCCACUUCCCCCAAUUUUUUUUCCCCGGACAAACUUUCCUGGGCCCGUCCCGGGGGUCGGUGUGGGAGGGGGUUCCUUCAAGUUUCCUCUCCUGACUUUGGGAUGAUCAGGGUCCCUCCACCCCGCCCCUCGCCCCCGGGAGCCGGGCCGCGCCCCCCAUCCACGGCGCGGGCCGAUCCUAGGGCGGGACGGGGGCGGGAGAAGGAAACCGGGCUCCCCUGCCCAUCCCCCGCCAGGGGCUCCCCCCGAGAGCCUAGGGGGCCGCCGCGCCGUGUCCCGCGCCCGGCCUGCCGGGGCUGCUGGACUAGAGGGAUUGAUUAUUGAUUGGUGAUCGGGGUCGCUGAGGCUCCGGGCCGGCCCGGCCGACUGGCCGCGGCAAGAAGGAGCUGGCUGGGCGGCGUGGGCGGCGGGGCGACGCGGGCUCACUUACGGGCGGCGGUGAGGGCGCGGGUGGGCCGGAGCUCAUGCGGGCGACCCCCGGGCGGCGGCGGCUGAGCGGGAGCCGGAGCCCGAGCGGCGCGGGCGGCGGCGCAUCGAUGCGCUGCGGGCUCGAUUGCGUCUCCCUGGGCCAGCUCUCAGGCCGGGAAUGGGGCGGCCGCGCCGGGGCCGGCUCCGGGCGCUGCCGGGCGGCGGCUGCUGGAGCGCGGGGGCGGCCUCCGGGCCCACUAUCCCCGAGGCGGCCCUGCGCCCGGGCGCGCCGGCUGGGGCUCUGGCGCUCUCGCAGGCCCCGAGGCCGACAGUCCCGGCGAGGGCGGGCGCCCCGCGCUCCAGCACCGGCUGCCUGAGCGCUCCUGGAGCAGCAAACCCCAGACUUCUUCCUCCUUCUCUCCUUCCUUCCUUCCCCCUCCCCUUAUCUUUUUCUUUUUUUAGUCUCUUUCUCCCUCUUUUUCUGCCCUGUGUCCUUUUUAUUUUUUCUCUACGACUGUUUUUGCAAGUUUGUUUCAAAAGUUCACAGCAUGCUUUCUUUUCUUUUAGACCGGGAGACAGUGAUCUCACCCACACGGUAAGAUCAAAAGUCUCCGCUCGCCCAGCCUGCGGGCUUGGGCUGGGUCCAGACGUCUCCCAGGAUGCAGAUGCGCCGCCGCUGGCCUCCCCGGCUAUAAAGCCGCCUCCAGCGCCUUUCCGCGCGCAGGAGCGCUCGGAGUUGUGGGGUACGGACCCCAGGCGGGGCAGGGAGUCCGAGGCGGGCUGCGGCGGGGCUCUCGGGCUGGCGGACUCGGGGGCUGAGGCGCCGUGCGCGUUGGGUGCCCGCGGCCGCAGAGGCCAGAACCGCUACUCCUCCAGGCCGGGGAGACGCGGCCGUGGAGCGUGAAACGCUUCUUGCAAGCGAGGAAACGGUGAGUUGGCCGACACCGCCGGCGGCCUCACCAUUCUGGUGGCCGCGCUGAGCUCCUGUCGCCUGGAGGCGGGUUGCGCCGCACGGGGUCAGCUCCCGCCGGCUCCCAGCUCACCUUCGAAGCUCCCACUUAGGCGCGCCCGGUGCGGCGUGUGCACAGCGCGGGGCGCCGCACACGGAAGCGUGUAGUUCUCCCUGGUCGCGCUUUUCUCCUCCUUUCCAUCCCCUCGCUGUUCUUGCAAACCUCUGUUCCUUCGGCCCCCUCCCACUGCGGGCCGCGGCCUGAACUCGGGUCUCCGCGUAGCCGGCCGCCGCCGCUGGGUCGCUGCCUGGCCCUCCCCCGCUCAGGCGCCGAGCGCUGUGCGAUCCGCCCUAACAUCUGUCCGUCCAACCAUUGGCGCAUCCAUCAGUGUCAAUGGGCUGCACAUUGCAGCGACAGCCCGCCACGCACAACACGGGCUAUGCGGAGUGCACGCAGCAACCAUACUGCCAUGUCGGGACACGCAAAAAGGCCCCCGGCCUGGCUUGGCACAGCCUGAAGGCCUAAUCUGUGUUCUUUCAGCCACAUGUACCCACCCCCACUUAAUAUCUGGACCCCCAAACAUGAAUAGUUUUGCAGACCAUUGUAGGGAUGGAAUUGAAGGAAGAGGGGCAGUGUCGCCCGAGUCAUUAUUUUCCACCAGGUUUUCUCUGCCCUUGUGUGGGCUGGGUGUGGCUAGGAGAGAAGGAAGGGAGACUUCCCAAAUCCGCACCAAGCACACUGCAGAACCGGAAGCUACCUGGAUGCAAGGGCUUAAACCCCCUUCACCUGGGCCUAGGAUGUGUUGUCGAGGUCGCUGGCCAGGUUUUAGCCAGGAGGUCUCGCGCUAAAACUUUUUGGCCCCGCCUGGCUGCUGUGUGUGACAUGGCCUGAUGGAGAGGAGCUGGAGAGCGGAGGAAAACGUGGAUCCCAGUGAGAACUAAGGGCCAGAUUUAGGGAGAAAUAGUGUCUGGAUGGCAGUAAGUCUGUAAUUCACAUUUUGUUUACAAAGGGAGAAAGGGCAGGGCUGUAGGUUUGAGAAGCCAGAGGUUUGCGCGGAGUUCCGUGUGCCCAUUCCCCGAGAGUGCCGCUCUUGGCUGUAGUUGUUUGUUCUACCUGAUUUUGCCUCUUGCCUUCAACUCCCCCAUAACCCCUCCCCAAAUGUCCAGAGGGCAAACAUAUGCGCAUACCUCCCUGAUCAAUCCAGCCAGACCAAAGGGCCUUCCCUGUCCUCCCCCUAAGAACUUAAUGGGAAGAGUGUACGGGGGACCUACUCUUGGGACAUCUGCAGGGCGGCUGUACCAGGCGUUUUACCUGACUUUAUUCUUACCGCAAAGAUUUCCGUCUCGGUACCUGGUGCCCCCUCAGAGUCCACUACACAAACGGGUAAAAUCCCGCGCGGCUAUUCAUUUCGCCAUUCGCGAGUAAGAAGGGGAAAAGGAGCCGCUUCUAGGAGAGCACUGAGGUAUGCUCGGUUCGGUUCCCGAGGAGGCCAGAAGCGGCCGCGGCGGCGCGGGCUGGAGCUCCCUCCUGCAGGGAGACACCGCGCUCUAGGGUGCGGGCUUCGCCGCCCACAUCCAGUGGUCGAACUGUUUUCACGCUAGACUAGAGGGCGGAAAAGUCUGCGCCCGCGGAGAAACUAGAAUUCUGUAGAAUGUACACUGUGUAGAAAUCUUUUCACCCCACUCUUCAGAGUUGCAGAUUAUCUUUGAAAAACAACAGGCUCUGGCCCUGCCAGCCCUAGUAACUUCUACCCGCCUGAGUCACUCUGAAAAGUAAGCCCCUAGGCCAGUGAGAUGUCCCCACCUUUGGGAGGUGCCGCCUUUCCGGGAACAUUAAAAAAAAAACCCUAAAAAUAGAAGGAGGAAAAAUGAGCAAAGGCGGUGGGACGACUCACCGAAACACCGAGGUGCAAAUGUCCAUUGGAGAAACUGGCAGUCGCAUGGCAGCCAGCUGGCUCACCCAAUAGCUGGGUGGUAACCUUGUGAUCCCCAAACAUCCCCCAGGGCCAUGAAGGCAGUGCUGACCCCCACGAUUGCACCUCAGGCCCGGUGGAAUCCCGCUCCUCCUCCAUAGUGGUGCUAUGUAAUCAGUAGAAAAUCAGUAGAAAAGCUCCCAAAUGAAGCUGCUUCAGGUCAGGGGUUAGAAAUCUGCCUCAGACUUUUUGAACUCAAGGAAAUCGGGACAUCUGUCCCCAGAGCUACCUGUGCCCCACCCCAGGAUCAUUCAUGACCUUAGCUACCGGGAGCUCUGCCCGGAUAAGUUUUUAAAAGAGAGAGAGAAAGAAAAAAGUCACAUGCAGGCAAGGCUAGGAACAGGUGUGUGCUGUGGGGACGGGCACUUGGCUCGCAACACACCACACAAAGUCACGAAGUCUGUGCCAGAAAGGAGUAGCCAAACCACCGCCGGGAGGCAGCCGAGGUUGUGUUUAAGGUGGCGAUUGAGGGCAGUAGGUGACAACUCGACCCAAAGAAGGCCAAGUCUUGUCCUUAUCUGGGGUGGCCACUGAGGGAAAAGACUUAAGGGAAAGAAGUUGUCUUCAAAGCUACCAUUACAAGAUGAGGAGCUAGAGUGGGCUCAGGUCCCAGGCACCCAGGGCUUAAGCCUUGAUGUUGGAGAGGUUCUCGGAGGGAGGCUUGGGCCACCUGGAGGGACUGGGCACUCUGAGUAGUACCCUCUGGGAGGCUGUACCCCCUUUCAAAGUGUGAGGGCAUUUGCCCAAGGUGUAGGCUUUUAGGGAGCCCAGGGCUGGGCAGCACCAGGGGAGAGAGGCACCAGGUGGGUGCCCUCCUGCCUGCACUCACCUGGAAUGCUGGCAUAUGGGUUUUUCGCCUUCCUCACGCCUCCCCACACCACAUUCUGGGCUAGGCAGUGUCGAGGAGGUGCCUUGGGUUCAGGGAAGCUUGCCACCUGCACACCUGAACCAGGAAUUGGGCCCCGGAAUCUCAGCCCCUGCCCAAGCAGGAAGGAUAGGGACCCUGGCCCUCGCCAGGUGGUAAAUUGUUUGCUAAAAGUGCAUUUACACGGCGGCGAAGUUUGUUUCUCUUUUACCGGUAGCUUUGUUUUAACGAACCAGAUGUUUUGUCUGUAAAUUCUCCCAAGAACUUUUCCAGUUUUGACGUGAAAUAAACCUUCGAAAAUCAGAAGAGUAUAUUAAUACCACUUCUGUGGGGCCUCAGGAGAGCUGAGUCAGGUGUGCCUGGAUGGGAGCUGGGGGUGGGAGUACAAUCUUUGGAGAGAAGUAGGGGGCUUCUCUUGGCCCAAGGUCAAGAAUUGGUUUGGGGGAGGUGAAGUGCCUCCCCGACUCCCAAAACAGGCGCACACACACGCAUUGUCACACCAGAGUACGCACUCCCAGCCCUCCUCCAACCAGGCAUAGCUUGCUACUUCGUAAAUUUCUUGUGGCUUGGGGCACAGAGAUGUAGCUCAACUUUGCAGACUGUGUCCACUGCAUGCCGCUGCCGUUUUCCACGAGGACCGCCUGACUGAAAGGCAAAGGGGCCUUCGAUCUUCUUCCCGGGGCAGCUUUGAUGCCUGAGUGUGCGGGGCCGGGGCCGGGGCCAGGGCAGAGCAGGGUGGAAGCUGGUGCCCCUGUCUGGCCCACCCUUAACUCCUGGGCACCACUCGAUUCGGGAGAACUUGGGGUGGAAGCCGACCUGGUCUAGGAAGCCACAGCCUGCAGGUCCCCCUCUCCAAUGCCUCAUUUUUUCCGAUUUAGGAUUUCCAGGCAGUUAUAAACACCUUAAAAAAAAAGACCCACUUAACAAUACACCUAAAAGAGGGAGGGAAGGAAGGAAGGAGUACGGUUAUCACAGGCGUGUGGGGAGAGGGAAACCAGGUCUGCCUAGAAACCCACCUUCUGGUCCUGUGAGUCAUAGCGGCCACUUUCUCGGGUUUCCCAAGACAGGAGAUGGCGAUUUUCUGCUCCCUCCCCUCUCCCCAAGCUUUCCAGUGCUCUGAGUCUCACAUCUUCAGAUACCUCUUUCUUCCUUCAUUCUCUUUCGUUCAAUCAUCUACGGAACUUUCAAAAACUUUUUUUUUAGGAGAGCGAAGAUUAAAUAAAGAAAAUAAAACGUCUUUGUAUUUCAGUCUAAGGAGGACAGAUGCACAUUAAACUCAGUUUGGAGCGCUUAACUCCAGGCGAAAUGCCCUUUUAUCAAAUCCCACGCGUCGACUUGGGUUGCGCUGGGAAUUUCACGAAUUCCUCGCUGCAGCGUGGCGUGGUUUACCCCCACCCCCACCGCCACCCCACUUUGGGUGAAAUGGAUUUUUGGAAACCAUUUAAGCAGAGCUAAAAAUAAGGGUGGGGGGAUCCCUACACUAGAGAUAGCUGCAGCCACCUAGGGGCUCACCCCUGGUCGGGAGCGAGCAGCUAUUUGCUAGUUGUAGCUCAGGGGUGCCCAACUCUUCCCGUGUGGUUGCGCCAGCUGCCCCGCACUGCAGGUAUCUGAAUCAUUACGUGGGCAACCUGAUGCGGCUCUGAACCCCAGCUCUUUGAAUGCUGGAAUCCUGAAGGAGGAGGAUUCCACCAGGUCUUAGCCGACCAGAUAGCCCAGCUUUCUGAGGCUGGUGACCUCAUUAACUGGCCAGGGAAUUUGCAAGACCAGGAAUAAUCACGUUUCCCAGUUCUUCUUUCCUACAUUGCUUUUCUCCUCUGUCUUCAACGUUAGGGUUUUGUGUUUGUCCCUAAAUUUACAAUUUACAAACGGGGAAGACGGAGCCUAAGUUUCUGCAGGGCAGGUACAAAAGAGAGGGACAACACUCUGGGGGCCUCAUUCUUUCACGUUUUUGUUUCUUGAAAUUUGAUGGAUAUCACCUUAGUUCGGCAAUAGGAGGGCCAGGGUGACUGGGGACAUGGUGGCCCGAAGGGUUAGAUAAUAUAGCAUGCAGGUAGUCUCUGAUCUCCAGGGCUUUGAUAACACCAAGAUUUUCCUCCUUUGCAGAGCAGUCCUAAAUUCUGCCUUCUCCCUUUUCUGCCGCCUCUUCUCUUUUCCCCAUUUCUUUCUUCGUUUCUUUUUCUGUUUUCUUUUUGUGUGCCUCUCUUCCAACAGUCCCUCCUCCACCUUUAUAAGACUUCUCAAAGGUUAUUUAUUUAAGGUCUACCAAGUGCUAGCCCCAAACAGGUCCAGUCCUUCUACCUGUGGCAAGACGGAGGCUGUUACCGCGUGCAAAUAGUGAGGGAACAAAGUAGUUUGGAGUUUUUUGCAGCUUUUUUAGGUGAGGGGAAGGGAGGGAGGUCAGAAAUAGGUUGACACUUGGUUUGAAAUAAAAGAGCAUGUUAAGAAGUUUCGAAGCUGCCAAUAAAACCCUUUAAGUGGCUUGUGAUUCAGUGCCUGGAGUUGCGGGGAUGGCAUUGGUAAAUGACUCUAAUGCCCAAAGAAAAAUAUUACAAAUGCCGCUGUCUCGGCCACCAAUCGGGCGCCGCUUUCCUGCGCGGGCGAUGGCUCCUCUCUGGCGCGGAGGGCACCCACAUUUGCAUGAUAAAUUGACCAGACUGGCGGCAGCCAAUGAAAUAUUCAAAUUAGGCUGGGUGGCGGUAGUAGGGGUGGAGUCCCUGGGGCUGCCCCUUGGCGCGGCGGCGGGAGCGGGCGCUACCACCUCUCCGUCAGCGCCCUCUGGAGGCGGGACAGCGCGGGCGGCCGCUCUGGCCCAAAAGACGAGAUGGGGGGUUGGGGGUUUGGGAUGCAAGGGGGUUUGGGAGGGGUGAUGGUGGGGUCUGGGUGGUGCUUCGCGGCCCCAGGAGGCUUUCCGGCUGGCCUCGUUGACUAGGCGUACAGCAGCGUCUCCGCAUGCCUCUUGCCCUUAAAAGUGUUGAUGGAUUGCAGAAGUGGAUGGUGACCCCAAGGAGGGGUUUCAGAAAGGCUCCAGCCUCCUUCGCCCAACCACCUUCUCUAGGUUCCCCUAACAAACCCAUCACUUAAGUUAAAAACGUGUAUUUGCUCUUGUUGACUUAGCUUUAAGACAAGAUUCUUGCCCACCGCAGACCACAUGGCCAGCUUUCCCAAAGGCCCUCUGAUAAUGAAAUGGUGGAGCAGAUAUAUCAAACUUUCCAUCUUGCCCUGAGCCAACGACCCUGCACCCUCACAGGCCAGGGCACUCUGGAGGGCACCCUGCCUGGAGCCCCAAACCUUGGGUAAGCUGUGGGAGCCUAGGCAGGGGCAGGCAGUGCCUGGAGGCUGGCUUCAGACGGCAGAACUUCUCACCUGGGAAAAUGCUUUCUGGAAGAAGCACCCAGGCCUCAAGGCAGCUCCAGUGAGGGGGCAAAAAGGGAUAUACAUAAGGCAUAAGGCGCUGGCCAUGGUUAGGUAGGUGCUCAGCCAGGAAGAUAGGGCAGAUUCACAUGGGGGAGAUUGGCUCGGUGAUGAGACCACUUCUGACUCCACCAGAACCAGGCCCAGCUCUUCCUGGAGGUCCUGACUCAACGGGGACUUUUGCAUGGGAGCCAAAGAACAGUGGAUGUCUCUUGUCCGCUGAUCAUCUCUUCCCUUCCCCCACCCCAUAUUCCAUCCCAUGCCAGAUCCCUAGGCUGUGCCUGUUAGAGCUACUGUAGCACCACAUGGACUUGCCUUUAAAGCAGAAUUUUUAGAAGUGCAGUUGCUUUUCUUUACUCUGCUGUGGGAUGCUGAACACCUUGUUCUUUCUCCAGCUCAGCAGGGCUUGGAGUUGGUUCCUAGCUAUCUCUGGGAAUGCUCGAUCCCCAUCUCUGUUACCAGCCAAAAGGGUCUGCGGGAGGUGGUCGGCACUCCAGUCAGCAGCCCUCUCAGUACCUCUUCCCCAGACAUAGUCAAAGCAAGUCAUUCAUCUGCAGCCAGUCUCCCCUGCCCAUUCACCAAGGAGAACCUGGGGAUAGGACCACUCAGAGCCUGGCCCAGGCUGGCUCACUAACUGUGUGUAAAUACACACAGCGGAAAGAGUAGGUGCUGAACACACAUGUGUGAGAGAGUGAAUUUUUACUCUCAAUCACCUUAUAUAUAUUAUCAAUAGUUUCAAAGUAUGUUGCCCAAAGGAUGUUAAUUCCUAAGAAGGCUUUUAUAUCGUUUGGAGUUUUGAGGAGUGUGUUGGCUGAAGAGAAGAGGGUCUGGCCCCAGUCUUGAUGGGAAUGCAUGGGGUAAACAGCUGGUGGCAGAGGUACAAAAGGGGCCUCUCUACUUUCUAAGAGAAUCUUCCAUCCUGGCUGAUUUUAGGACCUGGGGUGGGGUUCCCAUCAGGAGGAGGCCUAAGGAAGGAGUAGGACCCUUCCUAGAUGGCUGAGUCAACUUAUACGACAGGGCAGGGAAACCUAUCUUGGAAACCCGGGAGCCCUCCUUCCUCCUCCCCAUCCUCAGGCCUCACCUGAGACUUGAAAAUGGACCAGAGUCUUCCUCCAACAGUGAAAUUCGUUAAAGAGUCACUCCUGUCUAGAAUGUGCAGAAAUGCAAGCCUCUCUCUUUCUCUCUCUCUCUCUUUCUCCACCUUGAGGAUGCUGUAUCUAGAGCCCAUAUAGGGACAAGAAGGUAAGCAGUGAAAGCAGGAAAGAAGUAGAAGGCUGGCUGUCAUCCAGCUGUGCAUACAGUCCUAUCUCAGCUGAACUGUGCACGGUGAAUGAGGAAGUAAAUGACAGGUGAAGGACCAAGAGAGUGAAGCUAGUCAGUUUAUCUGAGGAGAUAGGUAUCAGUGAGUAACUGUAAGGAUCACACCCACAGUGGGUGUGCCCCGCAGAUGGAUAUAUGUGCAGCAAGCGGUACCUUGCGGGGGAAUGCAAGCUCCAACUGUGGUGCUGAGCCUCUGGCCCAUAAGUAACCCAGUGAGCCUGAGCAGGUCACUCCCUCUCUUUGAACCUUGUCUCCAUCUCUAAAACAGGACAGCUUUCUCCAUCUUAAACACCAAGUAGGAAUUCAUUGUGGAAACCUUCCAUCAAAAUUGGAGAUGCCUUGGAUGGACCCUGUGGUGGCUCAUGCCUGUAAUCCCAGCACUUUGGGAGGCUGCGGCAGGCAGAUCACUUGAGUCCAGGAGUUUGAGACCAGCCUGGGUGACAUGACAAAACCCUCUCUCCACAAAAAAUACAAAAAUUAGCUGGGCAUGGUGGCAUGCACCUGUAAUCUCAGCUACUUGGGAGGCUGAGGCAGGAGGAUCGCUUGAGCCUGGGAGGUUGAGGCUGUAGUGAGCCGAGAUAGUGCCACUGCACUCCAGUCUGGGCAACAGAGUGAGACCCUGUCUCAAAAAAACAAAAAAUAGAGAAAUAGAGAUGCCCCUUGAACCCAUGGGUUUUUGGGACUACAUUCUGGAAGCUUUCAGAGUCAGACCAGAGUUUGAAAGAGGCAUUGUGUCACUAGCCGUGUGCCCGUGGGCAAGUCACAGUAGAGUCUACUUCCCACGGCACUUGUGAGACUCAUCUGGGAUUAUGUGUGUCCAUGCCUUGGCAGAGAGCUUGGUGAAGAAUGUUAGUUGUCCAAUAAAUGGUACCCCAUUAAGUUGGUGUGCAGGGUGGCCACAGGGCCAGACCACCCUGAAAAUAAAGGCUUAUAUUUGGGCUGAGCCUGGAUGCACCUGAGAUUACAAGCAGGUGCUUAGAAUGUGGUGAAAAAGAAAGACAGGAGAGAAUGGCUGAAGGCAGCAUGCAGUCCACCUGACUUUCUGGGAAGAUUGGGCAUUUGCAGGGCUGAUAAGUCAGGUUCUUCCGGGCCUUUCUGUGAGCUCAUUAGAGGAAGGGGUCUGGUGACUGAUAUUUCUAUUUUCCCUGUUAGUAGCGACUGGAAUUUGCACCAUCCAGGUCAGAUGGAAAAUAGAAGGCGGGAAAAUCUGACAGUCUCAUUGAUUUGCUCUCUUUGCCAUCACCACUCUUGAGAGGAAGAAAUGUGACUUCAAACUUGCAAUUAGGAACCAGCCUGCUAAGGAGUCCUCUCGUGAGCUCCUGUGCUAUGCGGAGCACAGGCCCAUCUCAUCUCAUUUCCUAAGGAGGUAGGUUCAUUCAUGGUUUCAGCAGGAGCAGGCAGUGCAAACGUGUGACACCCGCCCGCAAAUAACUGCCAGAAAGGCCGUCCAAUGCUUCCUUCACAUUUUUGGUCAGAUCUCUGAAAAGAUGGCCAUUCUCCCAAUGUUUUAAAAGUAUUAACUUCCUUUCAAACAUCCUUUAACCUUUAAUGUUUUGUAACUUGAUGAAAAGGUCAUUUUGUGCUGAGGAUGCAGUUGUUCCGGAAUUGUUCAGCUAACGGGGUGAAUUCCAACCAAAUCCAGAAUUAUUUAAUGGGAUCCAACGCCCCGGCCACACGCACAAUAAGUGAAUAUUUUCCCAUAUAUGUCUGUGUACAGGUACAUGUACUUGUGCAUAUGUAUUUACAUAUUUGUAUCUAUGCAUGCACAUAUACUCAUUGGGACUUGGAUUCAAUGGACAUUUUUAGCCUUCUCACAAAAUGACUUAUCCUUUGCAGGAAAAUAGAUAUUAAACUUACUCUUUUGAACACAUUUUGCUAAAUAUUUGAUGGCAAUUAUUUAUGGUGCACUGUACUUAUUCCUGAUUUCUUACAGAAGGGGUUGGGUCAAUUUCUAAUUCAACAUUUCAUUGCUGUCUCUACAAUAAAUGCCUCCAGAAGCUUAGGAGAAUUGAGAGGUUUUUUUCCUCUCUCUUCUUUCACAGUGUGAGCUUUUUAACUGUCACUGGCUAGAGCAGUCCUUCUUCACUUUUACCUUCCUUAGCUGAUGUAUUCUUGGAAACAGAUGGCUGAGCAUGUUAGAUUUAUAUUUAAAAUAAGAGUAGAGUUAAUAGGCUCAAAUAAGAGCAGGAAGGUAUUUUCUACAAGGAAACUGCAUGAAGUUUAUGCCUGGACUCUGGAAGAUGUGUUAAUACUUUUACUUAUUCAAGAGGCAUUGGGUUGUGGUCUGCUAUGUUUCUUGCUCUGAUGACUGAGUUUUUAAGAUAAAGGCUCUCCGGGCAAAUAAGGAACAGUUGGAUAGAGUAGCUCACCUUAAGUCUCUAUAGACUCAUGUAGAGAACAAAUCUGAUCUAAACUGUGUAAAAAAAUGAGUAAGAGAACUCUAUAAGAUUAACACUCUUAUUAAACUUAAAAGAGAAAAUUGGUACUUUUUUUUUUUUUCUUAGACAGAGACUUGCUCUGCUGCUCAGGGUGAAGCACAGUGGCACAAUGUCGGCUCACUGCACUCACCUCUGCCUCCUGGGUUCAAGCGUUUCUUCUGCCUCAGCUUCCCGAAUAGCUGGGAUUGCAGGCAUGCACCACCACACCCAGCUAAUUUUUGUACUUUUAGUACAGACAGGGUUUCAACAGGUUGGCCAGGAUGGUCUCGAACUCCUAACUUCAAGUGAUCCACCUGCCUCAGCUUCCCAAAGUUCUGGGAUUACAGGGCACCAAAAAUUGGCACUUUUAAAAGGAGACAAGUUUUACUUAAAAGCAAAAGCCUUUAACAGGCCUUUGGCUGGAUUAAAUGAUAAUGAAGCGAAGCAAAGCUUGUGACCACUCUGUAGAGCCAUCCAGAUAGUCUCUCUUUGGGGCCAGAUCCUCUAGAAUGCAUGAUUUAGGGUCAUUCAUUGCACAUUCCUGGCUUCAGACUGGUUUUCUGAAUUUCCCUGCAAUCUGAUUUUUGUCUUCCUACAUUUCUGUGUGUGAGAUACAUCAAAAGGUAAAAGAAUGUGUGAAUCAUAUAGGUACGGUUUAAAUAAUACCUGCAUACACAACACUCAGUCACCUGAAACCCCCCGACACCUCCCAAUUCCAGUCCCCUCUCCUGGAGGCCACCUCUAUUUUUAAUUUUUGUAAUGAUCACUUCCUUGCCUUACUUUGUAGUUUUAAUAUUUAGAUGUGUAUACCUGGUCAUGUUCAUAAAUGAAAUCAUGUUGUAUGAAUUAUUUUGUGUCUUGUUUCUCUUACUCAGCAUUGUUUUUCGGACUUAACCAUGUGGAUUUGUGUUGCUGGUUCAUGGUCAAGGUUCUAGACUAUGAAAACAUUAGUUUCAUGAAAACAUUAGGAUUUUUUCCCCCCAAUUGUUUGGAUAUCAUGAAGAAUGCCGCUGCGAACAUGUUUGUUCCUAUGCCAUAACUCACAUGGGGAAUAUCUCCUAUUUAUAUAUAGUUAGGGGUGGGAUUGCUUGGUCAGAGUUUGCAUAUCUGCAGCUCUAACUGUUUUCCAAGAUGAUUGUGUCAAUUUUCACUCCCACAAGCAGUUUUUAAAGUUCCCAUUGUUCUACAUCCUUGCCAGCCUAUGAUAUUGUUAGCAAUGUUUCUUCGUAUUUGUAAUGUUUCCUAAUCUAGCGGCUGUGGUUGCUGUCUCACUGUGUUUAAUUUGCAUUUCCAUGAUUACUAAUGAGUUUGAGCACCUUUUUUAUAUCUGCGUGGUGAUCGGGAAUGCCUUAUUUGUGAGAUGCCUGUUCAAGUCCUGCCAUUAUCCGUUGCAUAUAUGUUUCACAUUAUUUCACCCAAGUUCUCUGUUGCCCAGGUUUGUUUCAGAUUGGUUUGGGACAGUGGAUCAGAUCAGAAAUGUUUCAGUGACAUCUCUCACUAUAUUUCCUAGGAUGCUUUUAUCUGUGAGAAAUACGACCCCCUGCUCACACUGGCUUAAGGAAAUUGGCAAGAGGUAGAUUAUGGCUCCAUUAUAUUAACAGGAAGCCAGUUUGCUCUGCCUUCUUACUCUUCGCUUCGUUUUCGGCAUAAUCUCAUCCUCAAGGUGUUUUAUCUUAUGAUUUCAAGAGGACCACAAAUGGCGAGUGGAACUAAUUGCUUCUUUGUCCACAUUCCACAAGGAAGAGAAUAAUAGAAAACUUUUCAUUGACCCAUGUAAUCUAAGUCAUACCCUUCAGUUUCCAGGGGCCACGUCCAUGAAGCAGGAGGCAUCUGCAGUGAAUGCCAUGCCCUGACGCCUUACUGAGCACUCCUAGUAGGACAAAAUGAGUACUGUAUGGGGAGGAGGCAACCUCAAACAACCACCAUGCUUACUGCCAAGCCUAUAGGAUAUUUUUAAAUUCAUUUUUUAAUUUGCAUAUAAUAAAAUGCAUUUUUUUGGGAUGCAGUUUUCUGAGUUUUGCCAAAUGCACAAAAUCACAUAACUACCACUGCCAUCAAGAUUUGGAACAGUGGCUAGGUGUGGUGGUGGCUUACACCUGUAAUCCCAGCACAUUGGGAGGCUGAGGCAGGAGCAUCGCUUGAGCCCAGGACUUCAAGAUCAGCUUGAGCAACAUAGUGAGACCCCAUCUUUACAAAAAACUUUUUAAAAAUUAGCUGGGCAUGGUGGCAUGUGCCUGUAGCCCCAGCUACUUGGAAGGCUAAGGCAGGAGGAUCACUUGAACCUGGGAGGUUGAGGCUGCAGUGUGCUGUGAUUGCACCGCUGUACUCCAGCCUGGGUGACAGAGGAAAACCCCAUCUCAAAAAUUUUUUUUAAAAGAUUUAGAGUCGUUUUCUUUUUUUUCUUUUUUUUUUUUGGACAGAGUUUGGCUCUUGUCGCCGGGGCUGGAAUGCAAUAGUACAAUCUUGGCUCACUGCAACCUCCACCUCCCAGGUUCAAGUGAUUCUUCUGCCUCAGCCUCCCGAGUGGCUGGGACUACAGGUGCCCAGCACCACACCUGGCUUUUUUUUUUUUUUUUUUUUUUUUUUUUUUUUUUUUUUUUAGUAGAGGCAGGGUUUCACCAUGUUGACAGGCUGGUCUCGAACUCCUAACCUCAGGUGAUCCACCCUUUUUGACCUCCCAAAGUGCUGUGAUUAUAGGCAUGAGCCACCGUGCCUGGCCUAGAAUAGUUUUCUUACUCCCCCAAAACUGCUUUAUGCUGCCUUUUUGUAGUCAAACUAUCUGCCUGCCCUUAACCCCAGCUCCCCCGCAUUAGAAACCACUGAACCUCUGAUCUGUUCUUCACCUUAAAGCUUUCCCUUUUCCAGGGUGUAGCGUAUGUGGAAUUAUAGAGUAUGUCACCUUUCAAGUCUGGCUUCUUUCAUCUAGUGUAAUGCAUUUGAGAUUUAUCUAUGUUGUCGGAUGUAUCAGUAAGUUUGUGUCUUAGCAGUGCUGAGAAGUAUUCCUUUGCAUGGAUGUACCCAGAUCUGUUUAUCCAUUCAUCAGUUAGAGGACAACUGGGUUGUUUCCAGUUUGGGGUGAUUACAAAUAAAGCCACGAUGUACAAGCACCUCUAGGUUUUGGGUGAACAUAAGUUUUCAUUUCUCUUAAGUUUCAAUACCUAGGAGAAUGAUUGCUAGGUCAAUGGUAAGAGCGUGUAUAAUGCUACAAGAAAGUGCUAAACUGUUUUCCAAAGUGAGUGUAGCAUUUUGUAUCCCCGCUAGCAAUGAAAUGAGAGCUCCGCUUGCUCUGUAAGAGGCAUUAGUGAAUAUGAAAGUGCUUUGUAAAGACUAAGGGUGUCUCACAGUGUGCCCAGGCGGGAGGAUUCAGAGGGGGCAUUUCUAAACUCUAAACUCCUGUGGGCUCCUAGCCCAUCCUUCUGAAUGGGGACAGAAUACUUCCAUUUCCAGGUUACUUGCUUCUCCAAAAGGGAGACAGGGAAGUAUCCUUCUCUUUUUGCAAAUGAGGGCACAGCACUGCCUCUCGUGGUUGAGCCAGUCAUUAUUCAGUAGGAACAGCAGUGAGAUUCUCCAGCCUUCUAUUUUAUUCCUGGGGUCACAGAGUAAAAUGCAGCGUGAUCAUUUGGAGCAUUCUUAUGCUUUGUGACAAGAACAAAGCCAGUGGAAACAGCCAUGUGUCCAAUCAGAAUGUCAGAGCUGGCAGGGACCUUAGCAAUUGUCACUUUACAGAUGAUAACCUAUUACAUCCCCAGGUCCCCAGAAUCCCAGCCCAGGACUCACUCCCUCAGCCUUCCUGGAUUGUCCUGGGUGGAACAAGAUCAGCUCAUUUAGCACAUAGUCUUCCAGAACACAAGGCAGUGUCCCACCAAGGUUGGAUGGGACCAGCUUCUCUAUCCACAGUAGCUGUGCACACAGAGACAGAAAUGAAGCCGUACUGCCGGGUGCACCGUGGCCAGAGAUCCUCCUUCCUGGUAUAUACUCCCGGAGCCAUUGCUUCUUUCAUUUCAGUGCCCAUUUCUGAGGCACCUUCACAUUUCAAACGUCCUGAGAAUAUGUUUAAUUAGAACUUGGCCAUACAGCCUUUUAAAACAAAACAGAAGGGACCAGCUAAUUAUAUCACUCAGCAUUCUGUGGCAAACAUAUAUUUUUUAAUAAAACACUUUCCUAACCAGAGUAAUCCCUGGAGAUGCAAAUCCUCAUUUAUAAGAAGUUUCCCAAAGGGAGUUAAAGAGAAGAUGCCUUAUAAAGAAAAGAGACAAAGAGAGUGGGGAAGUGUUUUCAAAGAGCUUUUAAAAGAUACACUCAUUCUGAGGUUGAAUUACAGAUAUUUUAAGGGUACCAAAUUUUAUUUCAGAUGUAAUCCUUUCCUGUGUUUUUGAUCAUGUAUUUCCGUUUUUUCCCUUUUUGAUCAUUGCCACAAAUGCCCAUAUUUCUCUUUCUGGUGUCUUUCAUAAGUGCAAUAUUUAAAUAAACAAGGGAUUUUCCCAAAAUGCACCUCAUCUCCUACUCUUUGUCAUUUCCUUGUCUUGCUCUGUAAAUAACCGUGUGUCUCACAGCAGAGCUUACACAGAAUGGAUGUGGGGCAGUCUGUGGUCCUGGGGAGGGCCUUCCCUGUAAUCUCUGCAGCCCAGGACAGGGAGAGGGAAGAUUUAGAUCCUGCUGCGGCAUGUCUUCAGGAGUGGAGGUCAGCUUGGGACAUUUACGUUCAUGAGGCAGCCGCAGAGGGUCAGAGCAAUAAUUGUGCCAGCUGAUGUUUGCUGCGGGGUUUACUCCAAGCCAGGCCACACGCUAAGAAAUUAGGUAUCGUACCUCAUUUAAUCCUCACAAUCCUCACAAAAUGUAGUUGUUUUGCUCCAUUUUGCAGAUGAAGAAGACGAGGCUUGAGAGACGAAGGAAUGAAUGAAGGGUCUCACAGCUGUUAGAAGGGUUAGAUCUUGUAUUUGGACUCAGGUCUGCCUGCCCUGGAACUUGACUCUCCCACACCUGGUGCUGGGCACACUAGGAGACGUCACAAGGCUCAGAGAUGCCACCCUUCCUAGAACGGGCGCCGUGCCUCUCUUCUCCACACACUGCAGGGGAGACAGGCACUGUGUUUUCAGAUAAGUUCCAUGUGCAUCAGGGGCUCGGUGGGAAAGGGAGGACACACUCAGAUUAGGAUUAUUCAUGGAGGAUUCUCCAAAGAGGCUAUUUGGAAAGACGGAGGGAAUGGUGAAGGAAAGCACAAGAGAAAAUGGACAGAACCGUUACUUCCUCACGCCUGAAGGGGAUGGGUUACUGGAAGCCAGGAGGAGAGUGUGAUAAGAGCCACUUUUAGAGGAGCUUUCACCUUCAGGAGAAAGUCAGGGCCCAAGAAGACCCACAGGGAGGUGACCAGGGAAUGGCAUACUUGGACUACCCUCUCUUCUGUUCCUCCACUCUCCUGCCAGGGCUCCACAUUGGAUAAACCCCUGCAGGGGCGAGUGAAACUGCCACCCAGGUUUGCCUCCCAGGGCACAGCCCAUGGAGAGCUCUAAGGCAAGUGGCAGAAAACUAGCACAGGUGCAGUGCGUCUUGCAAAGCACCCAGCCUAUGCCGGCCCUGGGCUAGAAAUGGGAAGAGAGGAGACCAUGGCACUGCCCUCAAAGAUCUUAGAGUCUGUGGAGGAGUCAGGCAGAGAGAGGGGGUGUUCCCUUGGCAAAGGACUCCAUGAGCAGAUGCAGGCCAUGGGCGACGCUCCUGCAGAAGCUUUGGGGUUUGCCGCAUGUGCCUGGAAGGAGCGCGCCCACCUUGACAUGCCUCGCCUCCUGUUGCCAUUGACAACGUGAAGGCAAACUCCUGGGGCUGGGCCUUUUUCCUUGAGAUAAAAUAUGUAUAAUUCUCUGUUAUCAAAUGAUUAUUAAACAAAAUCUAAUUGAAAAAAUAGAAAGAAGAAAAGAUAAGUCAUUUAUCAUCCUGUUCUCCAAAGACAACUGUGAACAGCUUGGUGGAACUCCUUCCAGUGGCUUUCCUUGGAGCUUUGCCUCUGUGGAUGUGGUAAGAGUCGGAUGCGAUUUUGAAUUUUGAGAUUUUGAUUGAGCAUUGUUGUAGUAUUUUGCCAUGUUAUGAUAAAUCAUUGGCAAACAUAGUUUUUGACGGCUGCAUAAUAUUCUGCAUAAUAUUCAUAAUAAUGAAUGCUAGUAUAGUUCAUAUUAUAAUUCUUCUACUGUAUUUAUUUAUUUAUUUAUUUUUGAGAUAGAGUCUUGCUUUGUCACCGAGGCUGGAAUGCAGUGGCGCGAUCUCAGCUCACUGCAACCUCCACCUCCUGAGUUCAAGCUGUCCUCCCACCUCAGCCUCCUUCAAUAGCUGUGACUACAGGUAUUCGCCACCAUGCUGGACUAAUUUUUGCAUUUUUUAGUAGAGACGGGGUUUCACCAUGUUGGCCAGGCUGGUCUUGAACUCCUGACCUCAGGUGAUCUGCCCGCUUCGGCCUCCCACAGUGCUGGGAUUACAGGCAUGAGCCACCACGCUCAGCCUUCUUCUACUGUUUAAAUGUUUAGGUUAUAUCCUGUUUCAUUAAUAUUAAAGAAUGCUAUAAUUAAAAACUUUGUGUAUAGAGAAUUUUUCCAUGUUUCAGAUUAUUUAUCCAGGAUGAUGUCUCUAAAAUAAAGCUACUAGAGGUUGAAGUAUCUAGCCCAGGGCCAGCCACAGAAUAGACACAACUUGGUUGAUAACUAUUGUUGUUCAGUGGUGAGUGUUUAUGUAAAGCUCUUCUGCAAUUAAGAACUGCUCCAAAGUCCUUCCUCUAGAACAGCGCUUGAAUAUGAUGUGAGCCACGUAAUUCUCAAUGUUAUAAUAACCACAUUUCAAAAAGCAGACACAGUUGAAAUUAAUUUUAAUAAUACCUUUUACUGGAGCUGGGCAUGGUGUCAGGCCUGUAAUCCCAGCACUUUGGGAGGCCGAGUUGGGCAGAUCACAUGAGCCCAGGAGUUUGAGACCAGGCUGAGCAACAUGGCAAAACCUCAUCUCUACAGACAAAUACAAAAAUUAGCCAAAUAGGUGGUGUGUGGCUGUAGUCCCAGCUACUCGGGAGGCUGAGGUGAGAGGAUCACUUGAGCCUGGGGGGUUAAGGCUGCAGUGAGCCAAGAUUGCACCAGCGUACCCCAACCUGGGUGACAAAGUAAGACCCUGUCUCAAAAAAAAACAUUAAUUAAUUAAAACAAACAUAAAAAUACAUUUUACUUAACCGAUUAUAUCUAAAAUAUUAUUUCAACAUAUGAUUAUAUGUAAUCAACAUAAAAUUUAUCAAUGAGAUAGUCUACAUUUUUUUCCCAUGUAAACCUUUGAAAUCUGAUGUAUAGAUUUUAUGCUUACAACACAGCUCCAUUCAAACCAGCCUCAUUCCCAGUGUUCAGUAGCCACGUGGGUGCCUGAUAGCCACUGUGGACAGUGCAGGUCUAGGGCAAGGAACCCACCAGAGAUAUUUGCCACUGUUGGCAUCUUCACCUAGCCCUGAAAUCCAGCCACCUUUUAAUGCCUCCCCGAACCCCCUUACUGGCGUUCUGGACUGAGGGUGGACCGGGUGGCCAGGUGUGACAUGACUUCUGUACCUGGACAUUUUUACCAGUCGUCCUCAUUCCUGCCUUGACCUUGACCUUAGCCAAUCACAGCAUCCCUCUAUCCCAGUGUGCCUGGCACUGGUUCAUUCAGAGACAUUGCACACUUCCCGCAUGGUAAGCCCUGGGCCUGACCCUAGGGAUACAGGUGGACAAACAGAACUUUCUUGUAAAAUUUAAUUACAGAACUUGUCAGUGUUUUUACGGUCUAGUGGGGGAGACAGACUUUAAUCAAAUCAUCACACAAAUAUAUAUAGUUUCUAAAUGUGGUUAAGUGCUACAAGGGAAAUGCACUUUUAAAAAUGCUAACACUGGGUCAUGGCAUGAGUGGCCCGCCCUGAAGGCAUUUAAUAAAGGUGGCCCAGCCCCUGGCCAGGCUGUCUUAGGGAACAUUCAUGUGAAAGAUGAGAGUGAGAUAAGAGGAUCUCAGUUUCCUUCUGGUAUCCAGGGUCCCUAAGCUACAUUAACAGAGUUUCUAGGACAGACAGUAGCUCACCGGUUCCUGUGUCUGGGGCCCAGUUGAUCAAUUUGUUGUUUGUCAUCUCUAAAAAGUAUUGCGGCCAGCUGGAACAUAAAAGUAAUGAGGAAACAGGCCAGGUGCAGUGGCUCAUGCCUGUAAUCCCAGCACUUUGGGAGGCUGAGGUGGGCGGGGGAUCACCUGAGGUCGGGAGUUUGAGAUCAGCCUCACCAACAUGACUAAAACCUGUCUCUACCGAAAAUACAAAAUUAGCCGGGCAUGGUGGCACACGCCUGUAAUCCCAGCUACUUGGGAGGCUGAGGCAGGAGAAUCACUUGAACCUGGAAGGCGGAGAUUGCAAUGAGCCGAGAUCGUGCCACUGCACUGCAGCCUGGGGAACAAGAGUGAAACUCUGUCUCAAAAACAAACAAACAAAAAAGUGAUGAGGAAGCAGAAGGCUACCCAUUCAUUCAUUCAUUCAUUCAUUUGUUCCUGUGUUCACGCAGCAACUCUCAGUGAGUGCUCUGUGGGAUGCCAGGCAGGCUCUGCACAGUCAGAAUGGCAAAGUCAGCCUUCUCUCUGGCAGAUUACACACUGCCAACUGAACACACUUUUCCGGGGAACAUAUCCACUUAAAAGAGAGGAAAAAUCAAUGCUAAUAGAACUCCUUAUCUGGUUCCAAAAAUGACAUCGUCCGUAGUGGCUGAUGCUUUGAGCCCAUGGCUGCUCUGGAGGCAUGAGCCCUGCAUGGACACAAUUUUGUAAGCUCCUCGAACCUGGCCAAAUCAAUCAAUGAGAGGCUGCAGCAUGGAGAGAGUCUGGGUUCCAGGGGCAAACUGUACCAUUCCUCUUCUAACCUGAAACAGGACGGAGACCCUCCCUUCAACCUCCAGCCCCUAGGGACAGGGUAAUUUCAGCUGCACCUGAUGUACCCUAUACAUCACUGUCUUCUCCACCAGCUCUCAAAUUAAACUCUGAUGUAUAAAGUUAAACAAAAAUGAGAUAAAAUUUGGCAGAGGUUGAAGAGGGUCAAAGUAGUCCAAACAUAAGGUAGACUAUUGCUUCUUUUGAUUUAUGUUAUUCUGUACACUGAGAAAAAAAUAAAAUUAUAAAUCUCCCCGAGACUUUCUCAUUGAGAAUGAGGCAUUGCUAAUUGAUUUUCAAUAGACUCCCAGGGUUUUCAGCUGGGAGGAGCACUAUAGCUGUUGUUUGUAGUGAAGAUGCCAUGGUUCGACCUCGGACAUGUACUGUGAUGAUGUAAAAAUAUCCUGCAAAAUUAACAUCUGCAGGCAGUGAUGUUGAAAACCACCCUGCCUUACCUGGCUCAUGUCACAGACCACAGUGUCUGUCCUUCCUUAUUUUCUUAUUUAAUCCUUGCAAACCCCUAAUAUGUGACACACAGAAUUCACUGUCCCCUUUUGGCAGUUAGGGAAACUGAGGCUUAAAGAAACCACGUGUCUUCAGUAAAUAUUAGCAUGUCUACUAAAUGGCUGGGACACAGAAGUGAACAAGACCAGUACCCUCUCCUAGAGACCUUCUUCCAGUACAAGAGACGAUAAUCAAGUCAAAUGACUAAAUAUAAAGGAUUAUUAGUGUGUAGAAUUAAUUGUGAGGAAAUGGAAGUGGGAAAAGGGAUAGAGAAAAAGGGGUAUAGAAAGCCAAGGGAGGGCCUUAACAAGGGAAUAUUUAACAGUAAAACAGUAAGAUUUACUUUUUUUUUUUUUUUUGAGAUAGGGUCUUGCUCUGUCACCCAGGCUGGAGUUCAGUGGUACUAUCAAAGCUCACUGCAGCCUCAAACUCCUGGGCUCAAACAAUCCUCUCACCUCAGCCUCUCAAGUAGCUGGGAUUAUAGGUACACAACAACACACCUGGCUUAUUUUUUAAUUUUUUGUAGAGAUGGGAUCUCACUAUGUUGUCCAGGCUGGUCUUGAACUCCUGGCCUCAAAGGAUCCUUCUACCUCAGCCUCCCAAAGCACUGGGAUUACAGGCAUAAGCCACCAAGCCUGGCCCAAGAUAUACAUUUUUAAAGGAUGGUGAAGGCUGCUGUGUGUAGAACUAACUCAGGGGGACAAGGGCAACAUCAGAGAGACCAGUUAGUAGGCUGUGCUCAUUUUCUGGACAAGAUAUGGUGGUGAGUUGGGCCAGGUGGUGGCAGGAGUGGUAGGUUGCAGAGCUUAGAACAAUUUUGAAGAUAAGGUGUCUCCAAGGGAUCUGUUCCUGCUCCGUUGCUCUUUCCACAGCACGCUACCUGCAGCUUCUGCUGGUAUCACUGCACCAGACUCUGGAGCACGCUGCUUCUCUGGAGGAGGAUAAAGACAGGGAGGCUAUCUAGGGAGAUAAGACUGCACCAGCAGGCAGCAGGGGCUUCCGAGAAGAGGGCCCCUAGUCCUGGCUGCGUAUGUGCUUGUGUGUGUCACUUGCGAUGUGCAUAAUCAUCUUCAGUCUUAUUUUUCCCAGGUAACUGCAAAAGGUAAUUUCCAGCUCAUUUAGCUCUGUUCUUUCCCUAAGCUCCUCUAGUCUGGCUUUUGUCUCUGCCACUCCUACCAAAACCACUCUGCUCAAGGCCAUGAUCAAUGUCUCCAUUGCCUAGUCCAGGACAGUCAGAGCUGCUCUGGGACAGAUACACCAGAUGCAUGAGUUUCCUGAUAGAGCAGGAUCUCAGUGGAGGCUCGAUGCCCACCUGCCUGAUGCUGUGGGAUGGAUUUCUGCACAGAUGCAACCUCUGUGGGCAGAGGCCAGGAUGAGGCUUAUGUGGCUGUGAAGACAGCCUUUGAUCUGUUUUCUGAUGCAACCACAGUGCUGCAGGCCCUGCUUCAUCUUGGAGGUUUGAUGAGUGCAGACAUGAGAGGUUUCUAGGUAGAGCUGAGCCCUGGGCUCUCGAGUCUCCUCUGUCUGCAUAUCUGCAUGUGGUUGGCAAAGUGCCAGCCAACCUCAGUGCAACCCUCACCAAGUUCUCAAGGAACAGCCUCUGAAAGUCCCUCUCUAUGCUGAGUUCUAGGGAAGGAAAAGGAACUCAGGGAAUAGAAGAGCUGAUCUGCCCAAGUCAUACAUUUCUUGGGGGCACAGGAGGACUACAUCUCUCAUGCUCACUUGAAAUUAACUGUGGCCACUCAAAUUAAGGUUUACCAGAUGGAACAUGAGCGGGAGUGAUGUGUUCUCUCUAAAGGCCUAACCCAUGAAAAACCUAUUGGGAACACUCCCCCAUGCUCUUUUCCAUUCCAUGAGCUGGAUGCAGAUGAUGGCAAGGAACUAGGGUGAGGUGGAACCACAAAACAGAGGGAGCUUGGAUCCCUGAAUGACCACAUGGACAUACACAUACACCAAAGACUGUCUUGUAAGCAAGAAAUAAACAUCUACUGUAUGGAACCUUUGCAUGGAGGGUCUAUUUGUUAUAGCAGCUUAGCUUACCCUGACUAAUACAAUCCCUGCUCUCUGAGAAUUUAAAAUUGCUUCAAGGAGACAAGACUCACUCAUACAAUUCUGGAAUGGUAGUACGUGGCUUCGAAGAAGGGUGGGUUGUAAGGUUUGGACUUUCAGUUCUGAAGUCACAAGCUAUAGGCCCUUGGGUAUUAGACUCUCCUAUUGAAGGCCUUUUUCUGGAAAGCUGGAAGAUAGACUGGGGAGAAGGCCCUUCUGGAAGAGGACACAUUACAAUCAAGGGUUCAAAAGUAGGGCUUGAAGCAAGCAUAGAUGAGAUCAACAAUGUUAAUUCCUAGAAAAUGAAAAAGGAAAAUGGCCUUUAAAUACCUAAGAGCUUUGACUGCUGCAGGGAUGAGACGAAGGCCAGACUUUCAUAACUUCUCUCCUGUGACUUCACACACCUCAGAAGUUUUCUGGUGAGGAGCCCUGAACCUGGGUGUGUGGGGAGUUGGUGUCAGCUUGCUGUUUCUCUCCCAUGCCUUUUCUCCUGGCUAGGAACCCCACUUGUUGUCUGUUUUAACCAAUAACUUAGCUCAGACUUGAAUGCUUGAUUGGAACAGCAAGUCUCCAGCUUUCUGCAGAGGUCUUUGGGGACAGGAAUAUGAUGAAGUUUCUGAGCUGAGGAUUCUAACUGAGACUUCCAGCUCUCAGCUGAACUUCAGACGUGUUCUUUACAGUCACAGCUGUGAAGCUUUUCAGGGCAAGGCCCUGAAAAGCUCAGCUUGGAUCUGUCUGUCCCUACCAGGUUCUGGGGGAAGGGGGAGGAGAGCAGGCAGAACACUCCCAGUUUACAGCCCAGGGAUGCUGAGUCCUGGGGCCAAAGGUGUUGCUCAUCACCCUCGAGCCCUAGAAGUGGCAGGACCUCAGGAGAAUUCAAAGUGGUCUUCCUCUUAGGAAAGAUAAACACUUAUUCCACUGGUUCUCCUCUUCCUGGACACUCCA